Molecule: ribosomal RNA, 1849 nt
Filed under: Salmonella enterica subsp. enterica serovar Thompson
Lineage: Bacteria; Pseudomonadati; Pseudomonadota; Gammaproteobacteria; Enterobacterales; Enterobacteriaceae
Description: partial 23S ribosomal RNA
Rfam family: Bacterial large subunit ribosomal RNA
Source: RNAcentral
GAACCAGUACCGUGAGGGAAAGGCGAAAAGAACCCCGGCGAGGGGAGUGAAAAAGAACCUGAAACCGUGUACGUACAAGCAGUGGGAGCCCCACCACUAAGCCAGUGGUGAACUCCACAUACGCAUCCUUUGCUGAAGGCAAUGGUUAACGGAGCGAAAGCGACGUUCAACCGCAAAACAAGCAGAGGGGGCUUAGUGGUGGGGUGACUGCGUACCUUUUGUAUAAUGGGUCAGCGACUUAUAUUCUGUAGCAAGGUUAACCGUAUAGGGGAGCCGGAGGGAAACCGAGUCUUAAUUGGGCGUUAAGUUGCAGGGUAUAGACCCGAAACCCGGUGAUCUAGCCAUGGGCAGGUUGAAGGUUGGGUAACACUAACUGGAGGACCGAACCGACUAAUGUUGAAAAAUUAGCGGAUGACCUGUGGCUGGGGGUGAAAGGCCAAUCAAACCGGGAGAUAGCUGGUUCUCCCCGAAAGCUAUUUAGGUAGCGCCUCGUGAAUUCAUCUCCGGGGGUAGAGCACUGUUUCGGCUAGGGGGCCAUCCCGGCUUACCAACCCGAUGCAAACUGCGAAUACCGGAGAAUGUUAUCACGGGAGACACACGGCGGGUGCUAACGUCCGUCGUGAAGAGGGAAACAACCCAGACCGCCAGCUAAGGUCCCAAAGUCAUGGUUAAGUGGGAAACGAUGUGGGAAGGCCCAGACAGCCAGGAUGUUGGCUUAGAAGCAGCCAUCAUUUAAAGAAAGCGUAAUAGCUCACUGGUCGAGUCGGCCUGCGCGGAAGAUGUAACGGGGCUAAACCAUGCACCGAAGCUGCGGCAGCGAACGUAUCACUUAAAGCGAUUCAGCGGGUUACGAUUGACGGAGCGAAGCGACGUCAAAGCGUAUACAAAGUCGAGUCGGUUUAAGGAUACGUUCGUUGGGUAGGGGAGCGUUCUGUAAGCCUGUGAAGGUGGCCUGUGAGGGUUGCUGGAGGUAUCAGAAGUGCGAAUGCUGACAUAAGUAACGAUAAAGCGGGUGAAAAGCCCGCUCGCCGGAAGACCAAGGGUUCCUGUCCAACGUUAAUCGGGGCAGGGUGAGUCGACCCCUAAGGCGAGGCCGAAAGGCGUAGUCGAUGGGAAACGGGUUAAUAUUCCCGUACUUGGUGUUACUGCGAAGGGGGGACGGAGAAGGCUAUGUUGGCCGGGCGACGGUUGUCCCGGUUUAAGCGUGUAGGUGUGUGUUCCAGGUAAAUCCGGUUCACUUUAACACUGAGGCGUGAUGACGAGGCACUACGGUGCUGAAGCAACAAAUGCCCUGCUUCCAGGAAAAGCCUCUAAGCAUCAGGUAACAUCAAAUCGUACCCCAAACCGACACAGGUGGUCAGGUAGAGAAUACCAAGGCGCUUGAGAGAACUCGGGUGAAGGAACUAGGCAAAAUGGUGCCGUAACUUCGGGAGAAGGCACGCUGACACGUAGGUGAAGUGAUUUACUCAUGGAGCUGAAGUCAGUCGAAGAUACCAGCUGGCUGCAACUGUUUAUUAAAAACACAGCACUGUGCAAACACGAAAGUGGACGUAUACGGUGUGACGCCUGCCCGGUGCCGGAAGGUUAAUUGAUGGGGUCAGCGCAAGCGAAGCUCCUGAUCGAAGCCCCGGUAAACGGCGGCCGUAACUAUAACGGUCCUAAGGUAGCGAAAUUCCUUGUCGGGUAAGUUCCGACCUGCACGAAUGGCGUAAUGAUGGCCAGGCUGUCUCCACCCGAGACUCAGUGAAAUUGAACUCGCUGUGAAGAUGCAGUGUACCCGCGGCAAGACGGAAAGACCCCGUGAACCUUUACUAUAGCUUGACACUGAACAUUGAGCCUUGAUGUGUAG